CCAGACUCCUACGGGAGGCAGCAGUCGGGAAUAUUGCGCAAUGGAGGAAACUCUGACGCAGUGACGCCGCGUAUAGGAAGAAGGUUUUCGGAUUGUAAACUAUUGUCGUGAGGGAAGAAAUUGACAGUACCUCAGGAGGAAGCUCCGGCUAACUAUGUGCCAGCAGCCGCGGUAAUACGUAGGGGGCAAGCGUUAUCCGGAUUUACUGGGUGUAAAGGGAGCGUAGACGGCUGUGCAAGUCUGAAGUGAAAGCCCGUGGCUCAACCGCGGAACUGCUUUGGAAACUGUAUAGCUUGAGUACUGGAGAGGCAGGCGGAAUUCCUAGUGUAGCGGUGAAAUGCGUAGAUAUUAGGAGGAACACCAGUGGCGAAGGCGGCCUGCUGGACAGAAACUGACGUUGAGGCUCGAAAGCGUGGGGAGCAAACAGGAUUAGAUACCCCAGUA
RNAcentral lists this ribosomal RNA (444 nucleotides) under uncultured bacterium. RNAcentral's name for it is "bacterial SSU rRNA". It matches the Rfam family "Bacterial small subunit ribosomal RNA", at positions 331 to 792 of the family's 1533-position model. The record is from RNAcentral.